CCUUAUCUCAAUCCUCCUGCUAGGGCACAUGGAAAGACUGAAUGGUGUAACAAACAUAAACAAUUUUUGAAAAGCAUAUAACAUGACUUAAACACACUAUGUAUCUUAGUUCAUGGGUGCUGCUGUAACAGAAUACCUGAGGCUGGGCAAUUUAUACAGAACAGGAAUUUAUUGGCUCACAGUCCUGGAGGCUGAGAAGUCCAAGAGCAUGGCACCAGCAUCUGCUGACGAGGAGCUUUCUACUUUGUCAUCCUGUGGUGGGAGGUGGUUGGGCAAGAAAAGGCAAGAGCAAGAGAGUACAAAGGGGGCUCAAACUCACUUUUAUAACAAACCCACUCCUGCAAUAAUGAACCCACUCCCUCAAUCACAACAUGAAUCUAUUCAUGAGGGCAGAGCCCUCCUGACCUAAACACCUCCCAUUAGGUUCCACCUCCCAACCCUGUUGCAUUGGGAAUUAAGUUUCAAACACAUGAACUUUGGGGAACACAUUCAAACUGCAGCACUGGGCAUGGUGUAUUUAUUUAAUUAAAGACACCUCUCAUAUGUAAUUCUGUCUUUAAGGCAGAUAUUAUUGAGGGUAAGUGCUCUUCUUUCUCCUAAAGCAUUCCUUGGUGUAGCUGUGAAAGAGAGAAUAAUGGGCUAGAAGGACAAUAGAUCUCAUCCACUAAAGAAUCCCGGGGUCCUCCGAAUUAACUGCUCUGGAACUGUCCAGCCCAUGCCUUCAGCUCUCAAGAGUGACUCGUGUGUGCCUGUGCCUCUGCCGAGGCAGAUCCAAAAGGCAUCCCGAGGCCAGGUGCGGAUGCCAGUGUGCAGGUCUGAAGGUCUACAUUUUAUAAGCUUUCUUUUAAGGAAAAGAAAACAAAAUUGCAAGUCCAAAAUUUAGUAUAAGAUGUUAGAAGGGGUCUGAGCAAGUGAGUUCCUAAAGUGUAAGUUCCAUUAGCAUCAUGAUAAAUCCGCCUCUACACUCGGGUUUUCCCAAUAGGUGAAAAGUUUUACUAAGGACAGGGCCUGGACCUUCCAGAAGUUUAGAAAACUUCUUGGCCGGCUCACACCUGUAAUCCCAGCACUUUUGGUGGCCGAGGCGGGUGGAUCAUGAGGUCAGGAGUUGAAGACCAGCCUGAUGAACAUGGUGAAAUCCCGUCUCUACUAAAAAUACAAAAAUUAGCUGGGUGUGGUGGUGUACACCUGUAAGGAGUGCUGAGGAGGAGGCUGAGGCAGGAGAAUUGCUUGAACUCGGGAGGCAGAGGCUGCAGUGAGCUGAGAAUGCACCAUGGCACUCCAGCCUGGGCGACAGAGUGAGACUCUGUCUCAAAAAAAAAAAAAAA
This 1325-nucleotide long non-coding RNA is filed under the name Macaca fascicularis (crab-eating macaque). RNAcentral's name for it is "lncRNA (ENSMFAG00000053280.1)". The record is from RNAcentral. Lineage: Eukaryota; Metazoa; Chordata; Mammalia; Primates; Cercopithecidae.